UAAAGUUGUUGCAGUUAAAAAGCUCGUAGUUGAAUUUUGGGCUCAAUUUAUCGGUCGUGCCUACGGUAUGAACUGUUACAAUUGGGUUCUCCCUUCUGGCGAAGCAUGAUGUCAUUAAUUUGGUGUCGUGGGGAAUCAGGACUGUUACUUUGAAAAAAUUAGAGUGUUUAAAGCAAGCAUUAGCUUGAAUACAUUAGCUUGGAAUAAUGAAAUAGGACGUUUGAUCCUAUUUCGUUGGUUUCUAGGAUCGACGUAAUGAUUAAUAGGG
This 268-nucleotide ribosomal RNA is filed under the name uncultured Glomus. RNAcentral describes it as "partial small subunit ribosomal RNA". It matches the Rfam family "Eukaryotic small subunit ribosomal RNA", at positions 605 to 877 of the family's 1831-position model. Lineage: Eukaryota; Fungi; Glomeromycota; Glomeromycetes; Glomerales; Glomeraceae. The record is from RNAcentral.